UGCUACCUGGUGCUUCCAUACACUGAAAAGAAAGAACACUCCAAUCUGCCAGCCUUACGAUGUUGGGAAAACGCAUCAAACAGUGCUAAGGUUUUAAGCAUGGAGAAUAUAAUCCAGUUGUAAAGCUAUUAACCCAGAAAAGAUGUCACAUGAAAGUCUGUAAAUAUGAACCACACUCUACUGCCCAGUGAUGGAGAAACCUACUGACUGUGGUGCGCAGAUUCCUAAGACGCCCUCAUGGUAUCCAUGUCCGCAUCAUCUCCUCCCCCUUGAGAGUGGGCUGAACCUGUGACUGGCCUCUAACCAACAGGCUAUCGUGAAGCAAGCCUCCAUCAGUUCUGCAGCUACAAGAAAAUGAGUUCUGCCAACAACCAAGUGAGCACUGAAGAGGACCCUGAGCAUCAGAGGACAGCCUAGCCCUGGCCAAUGCCUUCAUUGCAGCACUGUGAGACCCGAACAAAAGAUCCAGCUAAUGCAUGUUCAGAAUUCUGAUUCCAGGAAACUGUGGAAUAAUAAAGCAGCGCAAAAACAGACUAAUACAGAGAGCAACUCUAGAGGCUGUAGAAUUGCUGUCACCUCAGUCCCUAUGCUAAGGAUGCUGCAUCAGAUCAUACGCACUGCACUGGUUACAUGGAUUACAGCUGCAGACUUCUAACACAAAAUCCACACACAAGUACACGGACCCAGGUGGAGGCCUCAGCCCCUUAUUUCCUGCUUCUCUCCACUGUCUUAUUUUCAAGCUGCUACUGGUGCACCAUGAGAACCUGAUUUAAUACUAAGUGUCCAUACCAAAGUUCAAUGUCUGUCCCUACAGCAUAAUAUAACAUCGGUUAUCUCAAACAAUUGAUCUGGCUUAGUUCCUGGCCCAGGUGCAUAUUAGUUUUUGGAAGAAACUGAAUACAUAUUGUAAAAGUGUAUUAGCUCUUUCAAGCCAAAGGGGAGUGAUUAAAUAGAUGACUUCUCCAGGGGUGGAGGCCUUCAAGUGGGGCGAGAUGAGGAGGCAGAGAAUCCUAAGCACUCUGUUUCAUUUUCUUGUGAGCAAAAAACAUGAGACAGUGUCCUUUGGCUGAAAUCAGAUCCAGCUCUGUGGCUGGAGCAGAGGAACAAGGCACACAGCAGUCUUCCUGGAGAGAAAGGAGACAGUCCCACUGCUGAGUCAGCAACUGCCCUGCUGCAGCCCCAGGAUAGGCAGAGAGCUUGGGUUUAGGGAAAGGAUUCCACCCAGUAUAGUGUUAUCUCUGAGCAGGGCUGUACGGCCAGCACCAUUCAACUCUGUGCCACCCACCAAGAAACAAGAGAGUUUUUACACAAUGGCUACUUGUAGAACCUCCGAACUACCUACAGAGUCCCCGUGGUGACAUGCUGUAAAGUACUCCGUAUUUGUUUCCACUAACUGGGUGAUUGAAAAUAAUAAAAAUUUAUUAUCUGAC
RNAcentral lists this long non-coding RNA (1430 nucleotides) under Homo sapiens (human). RNAcentral's name for it is "long non-coding RNA NONHSAT203898.1". Lineage: Eukaryota; Metazoa; Chordata; Mammalia; Primates; Hominidae. The record is from RNAcentral.